Molecule: ribosomal RNA, 466 nt
Filed under: uncultured Desulfobulbus sp.
Lineage: Bacteria; Pseudomonadati; Thermodesulfobacteriota; Desulfobulbia; Desulfobulbales; Desulfobulbaceae
Description: bacterial SSU rRNA
Rfam family: Bacterial small subunit ribosomal RNA
Source: RNAcentral
GCACAAGCGGUGGAGUAUGUGGUUUAAUUCGAUGCAACGCGAAGAACCUUACCUGGUCUUGACAUCCCGGAGACCCUUAGGAAACUAGGGGGUGCUUCCAUCUGGAAGAAUCUGGAGACAGGUGCUGCAUGGCUGUCGUCAGCUCGUGUCGUGAGAUGUUGGGUUAAGUCCCGCAACGAGCGCAACCCUUGCCUUUAGUUGCCAGCAGUUCGGCUGGGCACUCUAAAGGGACUGCCGGUGUUAAACCGGAGGAAGGUGGGGAUGACGUCAAGUCCUCAUGGCCUUUAUGACCAGGGCUACACACGUACUACAAUGGCCGAUACAAAGGGCAGCGACACUGCGAGGUGAAGCCAAUCCCGUAAAAUCGGUCUCAGUCCGGAUUGGAGUCUGCAACUCGACUGCAUGAAGUUGGAAUCGCUAGUAAUCGUGGAUCAGCCAAGCCGCGGUGAAUACGUUCCCGGGCCUU